This 421-nucleotide ribosomal RNA is filed under the name Psalidopus huxleyi. Its description in RNAcentral is "partial 16S ribosomal RNA". The record is from RNAcentral. Lineage: Eukaryota; Metazoa; Arthropoda; Malacostraca; Decapoda; Psalidopodidae.
UGCAGUAAUUUGACUGUACGAAGGUAGCAUAAUCAAUAGUCUUUUAAUUGAAGGCUGGAAUGAAUGGUUGAACGAAAAAUGAGCUGUCUUAAAAAUAAAUAUUGAAUUUUACUUUUAAGUGAAAAGGCUUAAAUAAUUUAGAGGGACGAUAAGACCCUAUAAAAUUUAAUAUUAAUUAAUUUAUUUUUAGAAUUUAAUAUAAAGAAAAGUAUUUUAAUUUUAUUUAGCUGGGGUGGCUAGGAUAUAAAUUGUAACUGUUCGAAAAUUAAAAUAUAUUUAAAUAGAUAAAAAAUGAUCCUUUAUAAAGAUUAUAAGAAAAAGUUACUUUAGGGAUAACAGCGUUAUUUUUUUUGAGAGUUCUUAUUGAUAAAAGUAGUUGCGACCUCGAUGUUGAAUUAAGAAGACUUUAAAAUGCAGAAGU